GUUUGANUCCUGGCUCAGGACGAACGCUGGCGGCGUGCUUAACACAUGCAAGUCGAACGAUGAACCACUUCGGUGGGGAUUAGUGGCGAACGGGUGAGUAACACGUGGGCAAUCUGCCCUGCACUCUGGGACAAGCCCUGGAAACGGGGUCUAAUACCGGAUACUGACCUUCACAGGCAUCUGUGAUGGUCGAAAGCUCCGGCGGUGCAGGAUGAGCCCGCGGCCUAUCAGCUUGUUGGUGAGGUAGUGGCUCACCAAGGCGACGACGGGUAGCCGGCCUGAGAGGGCGACCGGCCACACUGGGACUGAGACACGGCCCAGACUCCUACGGGAGGCAGCAGUGGGGAAUAUUGCACAAUGGGCGAAAGCCUGAUGCAGCGACGCCGCGUGAGGGAUGACGGCCUUCGGGUUGUAAACCUCUU
RNAcentral lists this ribosomal RNA (422 nucleotides) under Streptomyces marokkonensis. Its description in RNAcentral is "bacterial SSU rRNA". It matches the Rfam family "Bacterial small subunit ribosomal RNA", at positions 11 to 435 of the family's 1533-position model. The record is from RNAcentral. Lineage: Bacteria; Bacillati; Actinomycetota; Actinomycetes; Kitasatosporales; Streptomycetaceae.